GCCGGAGUGGCGGAAUCGGCAGACGCGGCGCACUCAAAAUGCGUUGGGGUAGCCCCCCGUGAGGGUUCGAGUCCCUCCUCCGGCACCA
RNAcentral lists this transfer RNA (88 nucleotides) under Bacillota bacterium. RNAcentral describes it as "Firmicutes bacterium (anaerobic digester metagenome) tRNA-Leu". It matches the Rfam family "tRNA". From Rfam's summary of the family: Transfer RNA (tRNA) molecules are approximately 80 nucleotides in length. Their secondary structure includes four short double-helical elements and three loops (D, anti-codon, and T loops). The record is from RNAcentral. Lineage: Bacteria; Bacillati; Bacillota.